AGUAAGUGGGAACCAAAGCGCCAUUCUAGGGUCUUGUUUCAAUCCUAUGUCUCACUGCUUCAUCUCAUUAACAGGUAGGCCACUGUGAAACCCUUACUGAACUGCCCUCACCCUGCUGCCCACCAUUUGGAGGAGGGGAUUCACUAACAUAUGGCAGGGAGUCUCUUUAUAACCCCUCACCUGGUCCACAGGGUCUUUCCUCUUCCAGAAAGCCAUGUCUCUGUUAGCAUCCCAUCCUUAUGCCAAAACCAUCAGGGUCUGGCAUUUGAAUUUAUCCUGCUGAUAAGUGAUUAAUUGGCCUCCUGCUGUUUCAUGGAUGCUGGCCAAGAUGAGACUCCUGGCCAGAGACUAAGGACUUUAUCACUCAUGGCACAGCAAGCAGCAUAAGCAUAAUGUUUACAUUGCCUCCCUUUCCCCCCAAGUCCCACAGGGACAAUGUGGGGGGCCUCAGUGGAUGCUGUGCAUGCAAUAGGUUUGUGUUACAUCUGAGAACAUUGAGCUUGGAGAAUGCACUUCUUUUAUAGAAGGAAAGAAGCAAGUUUGCUCUUUGUCCUGGAGGGAGAUAUUUCUACAUUCCUCAAAGUUGCUCUGCAAACACAAGCCUGAGAAAUGGCAGGAAGAGCAGUUAGGACCUUGCAUUCUUGGUCCUGAAAGAAUGUGCAGGGACACUCCAAGCUCUCCCAAUAGCUCCAACCCCCAUGUGUCCACUUCCAGGCCAUGCCUGUCUCUUCUUAAAAAUUUAUUAUUAUUUUUAAAAAUAUUUUAUUUAUUUAUUUAUUCAUGAGAGACACACACAGAGAGGCACAGACAUAGGCAGAGGGACAAACAGGCGUCAUGCAGGGAGCCCGAUAUGGGACUCGAUUUCAGGACUCCAGGAUCAUGCCCUGAGCCAAAGGCAGAUGCUCAACUGCUGAGCCACCCGGGGGUCCCUUAAAUUUAUUUAAAAAAAAAAAUUAUUUAUUUGAGAGACAGAAAAAGAGAGAGAGAACACAAGGAAGGGGAAAGGGUAGAGGGAGAAGCAGAUUUCCCUCUGAACAGGGAGCCGGACAUGGGGCUUGAUCCCAGGACCCCAGGAUCACAAUUUGAACCAAAGGCAGAUGCUUGAGCAGCCUCGGUGGCUCAGCAGUUUAGCGCCACCUUGAGUCCAGGGCGUGAUCCCAGAGACCCUGGACCGAGUCCCAUGUCGGGCUCCCUGCAUGGAGCCUGCUUCUCCCUCUGCCUGUGUCUCUGCCUCUCUCUCUCUGUGUCUCUCAUGGAUAAAUAAAUAAAAUCUUAAAAAAAAAAAAAAACAAAGGCAGAUACUUAACUGAUCAAGCCACCCAGGUGUCCCUCUUUUUUAUUUUUUAAAAAAGAUUUAUUUACUUAUUUGAGAGAGAGCAAGAGUGAGCAUGCACACGCAUGUGCAGGGAGGAGGCGCAUGAGGAGAGGGACAGAGAGAACCCCAUGCAGACUCCCUGUAGAGCAUGCAGCCUGACUUAGGCUUGAUCCCACCACCCUGAGAUCAUGACCCAAUCCAAAAUCAAGAGUCGGAUGCUUACCUGACUGAGCUACUCAGGCACCCCAUCUGUCUCUUUUUUAAAAGCCCUGCUUCUCAGUCCCAAUGCUCAGCCUGGAUGAUGGAAGCAAAGCAAGAAAAAGAGAAAUCCAAGCUCUUUUAGGAUCACAGAUGCAAAAGACUUAAAUAGAGGUUAGCAGAGCAAAUAGAGUGGUAUCCUUAAAAAAUAAUAUAUCAUGAUCAAGCCUGCUUUUCUAGCAUACAAAGAUACCCCAGCAUUAAAAAGCUCAUCAAUAUGUAUUAACAGACUCAAGGAUAAAUUUCAUUAUUUCAAUUAGCAGAUCCCUAUGGGGCAAAAGUCGACAAAAAUAACAACAUUCUAGCCUUCAUUGAACUUACAUUUAAGCAAGAGACAGACAAACGAAUGAACAAAUACAUAAUAUGACAUUUAGUAGUGAUUGGGAUAGUUGAGAUACUAAAGCUGAAGGGGGUGAUAGAGAUCAACAAUUUCACAUGAGGGAUCCCUGGGUGUCACAGCGGUUUAGUGCCUGCCUUUGGCCCAGGGCGCGAUCCUGGAGACCCGGGAUCGAAUCCCACGUCGGGCUCCCCGGUGCAUGGAGCCUGCUUCUCCCUCUGCCUAUGUCUCUGCCUCUCUCUCUCUCUGUGUGACUAUCAUAAAAAAAAAAAAAAAAAAAACAAAAAAAAAAAA
Molecule: long non-coding RNA, 2204 nt
Filed under: Canis lupus familiaris (dog)
Lineage: Eukaryota; Metazoa; Chordata; Mammalia; Carnivora; Canidae
Description: lncRNA (ENSCAFG00845016381.1)
Source: RNAcentral